This 72-nucleotide transfer RNA is filed under the name Urocitellus parryii (Arctic ground squirrel). Its description in RNAcentral is "Spermophilus parryii (Arctic ground squirrel) tRNA". It matches the Rfam family "tRNA". From Rfam's summary of the family: Transfer RNA (tRNA) molecules are approximately 80 nucleotides in length. Their secondary structure includes four short double-helical elements and three loops (D, anti-codon, and T loops). The record is from Rfam by way of RNAcentral. Lineage: Eukaryota; Metazoa; Chordata; Mammalia; Rodentia; Sciuridae. RNAcentral also lists the same sequence under 2 other names.
UGGGCUGUGGCUCAGUGGUAGAGCACUCGCCUAACAAGUGCAAGACCCUGGGUUCAAUCCUUAGCACCACAU